Molecule: ribosomal RNA, 2088 nt
Filed under: human gut metagenome
Description: bacterial LSU rRNA
Rfam family: Bacterial large subunit ribosomal RNA
Source: RNAcentral
AUCCUGCUCGAAGAUGGGGGGACCAUCCUCCAAGGCUAAAUACUCGUGAUCGACCGAUAGCGUACCAGUACUGUGAAGGAAAGGUUAAAAGAACCCCGGGAGGGGAGUGAAAUAGAUCCUGAAACCGCAUACAUACAAACAGUAGGAGCCUCGUUAAGGGGUGACUGCGUACCUUUUGCAUAAUGGGUCAGCGACUUACGUUUAAUGGCGAGCUUAACCGUAUAGGGGAGGCGCAGCGAAAGCGAGUUCGAACAGAGCGUUCAGUCGUUAGGCGUAGACCCGAAACCAGAUGAUCUAUCCAUGGCCAGGUUGAAGGUGUGGUAACACACACUGGAGGACCGAACCGACUAGUGUUGCAAAAUUAGCGGAUGAGCUGUGGAUAGGGGUGAAAGGCUAAACAAAUCUGGAGAUAGCUGGUUCUCCCCGAAAACUAUUGAGGUAGUGCCUCGUGUAUGACUCCAGGGGGUAGAGCACUGUUAUGGCUAGGGGGACAUGGCGUCUUACCAAACCAUGGCAAACUCCGAAUACUUGGAAGUUUGAGCACGGGAGACAGAGCACCGGGUGCUAACGUCCGGACUCAAGAGGGAAACAACCCAGACCGCCGGCUAAGGUCCCUAAUAUUGACUAAGUGGAAAACGAAGUGGAAAGGCUAAGACAGUCAGGAAGUUGGCUUAGAAGCAGCCAUCCUUCAAAGAAAGCGUAAUAGCUCACUGAUCGAGUCUUUCUGCGCGGAAGAUGUAACGGGGCUAAGUCAAUAACCGAAGCCGCGGAUUCACACUUAUGUGUGAGUGGUAGGGGAGCGUUCUGUAAGCCUGCGAAGGUGACUCGUAAGGGUUGCUGGAGGUAUCAGAAGUGCGAAUGCUGACAUGAGUAACGUUAAAGCGGGUGAAAAGCCCGCUCGCCGUAAGCCCAAGGUUUCCUGCUCUACGUUCAUCGGAGCAGGGUGAGUCGGCCCCUAAGGUGAGGCUGAGAAGCGUAACUGAUGGGAACAAGGUUAAUAUUCCUUGACCACCGCUGAAUGCGAAGGGGGGACGGAGUAUUGAAGAUCAUCCGGGUGUUGGAUAUCCCGGUUUGCGAGCGUAGGAGGCUGACAGGCAAAUCCGUCAGCGAAUCUCCGAGGCAAAGCAUCGAGCUCUCUUUUGAGCGAAGUGAUUGGAUGUGCUUCCAGGAAAAGCCUCUAAGCUCCAGUUCAGCGGGACCGUACCGCAAACCGACACUGGUGGGCGAGCUGAAUAUGCUCAGGCGCUUGAGAGAACUCAGGAGAAGGAACUCGGCAAAUUGACACCGUAACUUCGGGAUAAGGUGUGCCUUUGUAGCGUGGAGGGAGAAACACCCCGAGCGCGAAGAGGUCUCAGAUAAUCGGUGGCUGCGACUGUUUAUUAAAAACACAGCACUCUGCAAAGACGAAAGUCGACGUAUAGGGUGUGAUGCCUGCCCGGUGCUGGAAGAUUAAUUGAUGGGGUGCAAGCUCCUGAUCGAAGUCCCAGUAAACGGCGGCCGUAACUAUAACGGUCCUAAGGUAGCGAAAUUCCUUGUCGGGCAAGUUCCGACCUGCACGAAUGGCAUAACGAUGGCCACACUGUCUCCUCCUGAGACUCAGUGAAGUUGAAGUGUUUGUGAUGAUGCAAUCUCCCCGCGGCUAGACGGAAAGACCCCAUGAACCUUUACUGUAGCUUUGCAUUGGACUUUGAACCGAUCUGUGUAGGAUAGGCGGGAGCCUGUGAAACCACAACGCCAGUUGUGGCGGAGGCGUCCUUGAAAUACCGCCCUGAUUUGUUUGAGGUUCUAACCUGGGACAGUCAUCCUGUCCGGGGACCGUGCAUGGUAGGCAGUUUGACUGGGGCGGUCUCCUCCUAAAGGGUAACGGAGGAGUGCGAAGGUACGCUAGGUACGGUCGGAAAUCGUGCUGAUAGUGCAAUGGCAAAAGCGUGCUUGACUGCGAGACCCACAAGUCGAGCAGAUACGAAAGUAGGUCAUAGUGAUCCGGUGGCUCUGUAUGGAAGGGCCAUCGCUCAACGGAUAAAAGGUACUCUGGGGAUAACAGGCUGAUACCGCCCAAGAGUUCAUAUCGACGGCGGUGUUUGGCAC